CCCCUCCACCACAUCGAAGGCGCCCACCACCAAGGCGUCCCCCUCCGCCAGCUCCAAUUUUUCUUCGUCCGCCACCACCAAAGCGUCCCCCUUCACCACCGCCAAGUUUUCGUCCUCCACCACCAAGACGUUACCUGCCGCCACCAACACCUAGACUUCCUCCACCGCCACCACCCUCACCACCACCGCCACCACCUCCACCACCACGACGUCCUCCGCCGCC
Molecule: long non-coding RNA, 223 nt
Filed under: Panax ginseng (ginseng)
Lineage: Eukaryota; Viridiplantae; Streptophyta; Magnoliopsida; Apiales; Araliaceae
Description: long non-coding RNA (PGIN_LNC005164)
Source: RNAcentral